AAAACCAACGAAAAAAACCCACGACCGAGGCAACGCACACCCUCCCUCCGCAAACCCUAGCCGCCGCACGAGGGAAGAGAUGAGGGACAGGACGUUGCGUCCACACAUCUCCGCCGCCGGCCAUGCACGGCCGCUCCUCCACGACGACACCAACCGUCCAGAAGCGGAGUCGCCGCCUCGACCCGGGGUCCCCCCGUCCCUGUCGUGGUCGGCGCCACGCCCAUCCCGAGGCACCACCCGCUCGUUGUCGGCACGCCCGAGCUUGCCAAGAAGUUCGCCGUGCCGCGGAGGGGCUCCUGGGGCCGAGAAGCAUAGCGGCGCCGGCGAUGCCGGGGUGCUCUUAUCACCCAAGGUUGUCAGGCCCAUCGCGCUCAACUUCGAGGAGAGGACGCCCGUCAAGGAGCGGCCCUCGCCAGCGCGGAGCUCGGCGUCGGUCAAGAAGAGCACCACCAUCAUGCCCAGGCUGGUGACACACGGCUGGAGCUUCAUUGCCGACAGGGCGACCCACCUCCUCCUCCACAGAACAAGAUCCCAAAGUGCUGGUUCCACCUGAGAAGAGCUCGAUGAGCUGCACGGCUCACGCACGAUGAGCAGGAGGCCCAGGGAGAAGGAGCCCUCCUUGCUGGUCUCCGGCCGGCGUCGGCAGCACAGCCCCCUCCCCCAAGAGGAGGCCCUCCUUGUCGGCCUCUCCCGUGCUGGUGCAAGGGAAGCUCAAUGCUCUCGGCAAGGAAACCAGGGAGCAGGCGCAGAAUCAAUGGCAAGCCGAGUCGACAGGUGACUUCACACAUCAGAUUGAAUCAAUGAUUACUGAAGUUUAUAGCCCUCCAAUGCAGUAUAUGUAUGCUUUACAAAAUUAUCCGAGUAUUGCAAAAUUGCAUGAUACAUCAAAUUGGAGCGUAGCCUACAUACUUAUGGACUGCGGACUUAUGUUGCUUAUUUAGAGGCUACCGUACAUGGAUCUGGAAAACUACAACUAUUUGGUGCAUGAUCUAAAAUAGCUGCAGGCUAAUCCUCCGCUAAUGUUCAUAAUGUUAUGUGGUACACAAUAUGGGUAAAGGAGAGCACAUUGCUCUAAUGUUUUUGCAUAUGAUAUUAAAUCAGACAUUUCAGUGGAUAAUAUAUGGUAUUGACUUGGACAUUGGUGCUGUGGAACAACCUAGCAGGUAUUGGAUCUUAUAGAAUUAUAGAGUUGGCAGGGUCUGAAAAUCAUGGUGUUGGUGUUUCAGCCUAUCAAACGCUAACCCGUCUCGCGGUACGCCACCGCCCGUCGCGGCCGCCCCACCUCCAGCCGCGGCCGCCGCCCCCACGUCCCACCGCGGUCGCUCCCCGCGCCAACGACCCCUUCCCCCGCCGCCGCGCCACGGGUCCACUUCGCCAUGAGCUCCAGCGCCAACCAUCCCGCCGCUGCUCGUGAUCCCCUCUUCCAUCAGCUCCACUUCACCGGAACCGAAAAUCAGCCAAGAUACACAACAAACAUAUCAACCGCAGCUAUCUGCUAUGCGCACAUGUGCGAAAACAAACUUAUUAAUCCUUUGCCGCAGACAAUACUGAAGCACUAACACAAACAAGAUCCUUCUGAAGGUAGUCUCUGAAUGCAAAUGAUCAUGACUUAUGAAUUUGGAGCCAUGGCCCAUGUGUAGGCAAGGGCAAUGAUCCCAUUUACUACUUGAGCGGUCCAACAGAGAUUAUUGAAGGUUGUUUCUGAAGUUGUGAUUGACUGGAACCAAAGGAAAGUUGGAGACUUUUUUGGUGUCAAUUGCUUGGAUUAAGUGGGAGUAAAGAUGUUCUUUCUGUCUAUAUCUGGUUCUAUUAUUGGCAAAUUUGUGCCUUUGAGAUUGCUGCGAGUGUUUGUGUUCUCGAGCUGAAAAUUUAGAUUAUUACCAUGUUUGGUCUCCUGAAUAUAAAUCAUGAUUCUUUGCAUCUCAAUUGCAGACCAGCAGACCUUUCCGUCCUCAUAUUCCCCGGAUUCGUUUUCUGCGAUCGAGCGCCCGAGUGGUUGCAUCUCGACGGCAGUUCCCUUUACAACCGAGUUAGCUUUAUACUAUGAGCAGUGAGCAAGUCAUGUAUAAAGCAAAAACAAAAUAUUGGUCUGCUAUCAAAUGGUACAUUUAUUUGAACUCUAAGGGCAGGUUCAGGGUCUCAUGAAGAGGGCAUGUGUUUGUAUUAGAAGUGUCGUAGUUGAGAAGCCUGAGAAGAAUAUAUCACUUAGAUCAGAAGGUUUUGCAGUUGACAAGCUUACAGAUUUGAGCACCCCGAACAACGGGGUGGACCCUUUGACCUGUGGGUUCUGCUGGUACCAAGAGAAGGAGGUUCCUUUUAACCUGCAGGAGCUCUACCAAUGGCAGCGUGCUUUCCUUGACAAUGACGUGGUACUGCACAUAUGCAAGAUGCAGCGAGUGAAAUCGGCGCAAGAGGGCAUCUUGCAAGCAGCACCAAAUCCUAUAUUAUGGGACCGAAUGCUGGGUGCAAAACUCCAACAAUACUUCCAUCUGCAGCAACAAACUCUGGUAGAGUUAACUCACGUCAGCAUAAGGCAUGAAGCUUUGGAAUUUGCAGAAAAAGUACUUACACUAAGAGGGCACCAUGGUACAUGUACGUGUCAAAAACAUCAAGUUCAAAACUUCGUGGCAUGCUUCCACCCAAUGAUUAGUCAACAUGAUAUCAAAUUUCAAGGUUGGGGAGAAUCAUAAUGGACUACUGUACAUAGAUGGACCUUGCUUGUGGCAGCACUAUAACUAUAUGUACAUAAAUUUGGUUCUGAUAUAUUCAUGCUAAUUUCCUAUAAUUAUUUCUGGGUGCAUUUGGAUGCAAGGAACCAUUGGUGCGCAUAUGCUACUGCCACAAAAUCAAUUUCCCAUCUACUUCUUAUUUCAGUCACAUGAAUGGGAUCAAUGCAAAGUAAGAUUGCAUUCUUAUUCCAUUUAUUAUUUCCCAAAUUAUUUAUCAUAGUUUAGACGGCAUACUCAUCUUGCUUCCAGUUUCCUCGAAUGGUCUCUCAAUCCAUGUACCAGAUCAUCAGAUGGCACGCAUGUAUGAUGUAUAUACUUUGCCUUUACUCUGCAUUUUUAUUUGUCCUUUGUUUAUGUUUCGAUGCCCAUAUUUCAGCAAUUAGCAAGUGCUUCAACAUACUAGGAAGAAGUUCUUGUGGUCCGGAGUUGGAAGGAUCAAUAAAAAUAGUAAUCAGUGACUUGCUUUCUUUCUGAAAACAUAUCUGAAAGGAGGCUUGUUUGAAGUUCUUGUGGUCCAGAGUUGGAAGGAUCAAUAAAAACAGUAAUCAGUGACUUGCUUUCUUUCUGAAAACAUAUCUGAAAGGAGGCUUGUUUGACAUAUGUUUCGAUGCUCAUAUUGCAGGGUUUAGUGACUGCAUCAACAUUGUAGGAAGAAGUUCUUGUUUUCUGGAGUUUGAAACAUCAGUAGUACGCUUUUGAGAUGCUCUUAGACCCUUUUUUUGACAAACACAACAAUGUAGCUACUCCAUUGAAUAACUUACCUUGUGUUGGUAUUCAUCGUUAUAAAUAACACUGAGUCUUGUUCAUCAUGAAUCUGUAUCAAUAUGUGUUGUGUUCUCUUUCAGAGAAGUGAACUUUGAGAACCCUGCUCAUUCCGAUCAAUGAAAAUUCCGAGGCUGAAAGUACAAACUUGAUAAGACAAAUUGAUAGACUUGGAGAAAAAAUGGGUGUAUUUGGACCUGGAUGGUAACAUAGGCAUAUUUGGAAUAGGGUGACGACGGAGCAGAAAUGGCCAAAAGAGUUUGAGUGGAAGGGCUUGUGGAAGAAGAUAUGGAAUGACAAC
This 3792-nucleotide ribosomal RNA is filed under the name Triticum aestivum (bread wheat). RNAcentral describes it as "partial small subunit ribosomal RNA". Lineage: Eukaryota; Viridiplantae; Streptophyta; Magnoliopsida; Poales; Poaceae. The record is from RNAcentral.